CGCCCGCCGCGCGCGGCGGGCGGGGCGGGGGCACGGGGGGCCUACGGGAGGCAGCAGUGGGGAACAUUAGGCAAUGGGCGAAAGCCUGACCUAGCGACGCCGCGUGAGGGAAGAUGGCCUUCGGGUUGUAAACCUCUGUUGUACGGGACGAAGCGAGUGACGGUACCGUAAGAGGAAGCCACGGCUAACUACGUGCCAGCAGCCGCGGUAAU
RNAcentral lists this ribosomal RNA (212 nucleotides) under uncultured Clostridia bacterium. RNAcentral describes it as "partial 16S ribosomal RNA". It matches the Rfam family "Bacterial small subunit ribosomal RNA", at positions 284 to 524 of the family's 1533-position model. Lineage: Bacteria; Bacillati; Bacillota; Clostridia. The record is from RNAcentral.